CCCCUAGAUGUCCUGGGCUGCACGCGCGCUACACUGGAAGUUACGGAUUGAGAUACUACCUUGUCCGAAAUGGUCCGGGUAAUCACCUAAAAGCUUGUCAUAAUUGGAAUGGAUUAUUGUAACUAGUAAUCCUGAACGAGGAAUUCCUAGUAAGUCCCAGUCAACAGCUGGUACUGAUUACGUCCCUGCCCUUUGUACACACCGCCCGUCGCUACUACUGAUUGGACGUUUAAGCAAGAUUUUUAAACACUGACAGUGUGUAGUUCACGCUAUACUACAGUGAGAAGAAGAAGAUCGAGCUUACUUGUCUAGAGGAAGUAAAAGUCGUAACA
RNAcentral lists this ribosomal RNA (332 nucleotides) under uncultured eukaryote. Its description in RNAcentral is "partial 18S ribosomal RNA". It matches the Rfam family "Eukaryotic small subunit ribosomal RNA", at positions 1470 to 1796 of the family's 1831-position model. The record is from RNAcentral.